RNAcentral lists this transfer RNA (86 nucleotides) under Alphaproteobacteria bacterium LSUCC0226. RNAcentral describes it as "tRNA-Leu". It matches the Rfam family "tRNA". From Rfam's summary of the family: Transfer RNA (tRNA) molecules are approximately 80 nucleotides in length. Their secondary structure includes four short double-helical elements and three loops (D, anti-codon, and T loops). Lineage: Bacteria; Pseudomonadati; Pseudomonadota; Alphaproteobacteria. RNAcentral also lists the same sequence under 11 other names. The record is from RNAcentral.
GCGGCUGUGGCGGAAUGGUAGACGCGGCGGAUUCAAAAUCCGCUUCUGGUGACAGAGUGGGGGUUCAAGUCCCUUCAGCCGUACCA